CUGCAUCAAGACUGGCCGCUGCCCAGGCUCGUUUCCCAUGGGUCUCCUAAGGCCAACAGGUGACUUCCAGAGACAGAUGGCAAGCUGCGCGGAGGAUGCUGAUGGACUUGGCUUUCCAGGCCAUCUGUUUGGUGACAGUCUUGAGAUGAUGGCAGGAGAUGAUCUUGCAUCAUCUUUAAUAGAACUGUGUCACGUAGCGCUCCUAGCAGUGAGGGACUGGCGGGCAUUCUGAAAAACCCUUCAGCACAAACAGUAGGAACGCUGGAGAUGACACCACACAUUUCUUCACGUGCACAGUUGAGCUCACAGGGGCCAGAAAUGAGGGAGCCAGGACCCCUCAGCUUGUACAGCCCAGGGGUGGUACAGUCACACUAUGGGUCCACGCAGACAGGGCAUUGAAACGGGUCCUCGUGGGUUAUGGAAAAGGUAUCUGUCUGCAUUCAGAUGGGGUCCCAGGAGAAUGCAAUAAAAGUCCUGGGAUUUGUGACCACAAACCUGCCCUCUGUGUCACAGCGAUGGAGAGUUUGUAUCUGCACUGGCUGCAUGACCUGUGCUGGGGGUGAGGUGCUCUGCAUGUCUGCAGGAGUAAACUGGCUUCCAGUCUGGGCUUGUGCCCAACUUACCCAUCAGGCUUAGUGUUUCAUGGGUGCUGGCUGAGGUCGUGAGAUUCCUGGGUCAGAGACAGGACUUGUUCUUCAUGGCACAGCAAAGCAGCAUGAGCUUUGUGUUGGCCUGGUCCCCAGUCCCACAGGAGUGACACGAGGGGCCCAGGCAAAUGCCAUGCAAGCAGGGGGGCUGUGUCACAGACGGCACACUGAGCUUUUUAUAGCAAGUGGUAAACAAGCCUGCAGUUGGACCACAGCAGAUACAACCCUAAAAGUGGGCCAAGUGGAGAGCACUUAAGAACCACAUUUUGA
Myotis davidii is the source of this 917-nucleotide long non-coding RNA. RefSeq lists it as uncharacterized. The transcript has 2 exons. The record is from RefSeq and is a predicted model, not a curated record. NCBI's taxonomy places the organism in Eukaryota, Metazoa, Chordata, Mammalia, Chiroptera, Vespertilionidae.